GCCCGGCCACCCCGCCCCUCGCCGCUUCCCGGCAUCCCCACACCGCGCCGCCUCCCCAUCACCAGGGCCCGGCCGCGCGAGAACCUCAGACCGCUGGCCGACCCCACACGCCCCCCGCGCUCCCCCUGGAUCAGGUCCUUCCCUCGCCUCCGGUGCAGUCCAACCGCGAUCUCCGUGCGGUUCAACUUCGGCCCCGGCGCCUCACGCUCUCUGCUGGUAAAGCUGAGCGAGAGUGCUCGAUUUCCUCUGCCUCCCUGCUGGCAACCAACAGUAGCCAUGCGACCCUCCCUCUCCAGUACCAUUACUCCUCCGUCAAGGUCAUGUCCCUGCCUCCAGCAGAUGGGCCGAGCACCAGGCCACCCAUGUCAACCAUCUUCUUCCUCAGUACGUGUGUUGAGGAUUGCAUCUUGCCAAUAAAGGUUUAAAUUAGGUCAGAUUUUGAAAUGCUAUUGGGGAAGGUCUGGUGUUUAGUUGGUGGCUAUGUGGUACCUACACCGGGCACUUUCCAUCAAGACCUUCAAGAAGAGAUGUCAUCUCAAGGUAUUUUCAAUAUUUUUUGGCAAAAUGGUCAUGGAAGUUGAACAAAUGCCAUGGAAUUCUUGUCAAGACAUCCGGAAGUUCAACAAUAAAAGAUACAUAAGUACAUGUGGAUGAAGCCUCGGGGCCAGCAGCCACCUGAAUACAAGUGUUUGCAGUUUGCUCACCAUAAUGUUGAAUGAGACUACAUCAUUAUUACUCAAAAAAAUUAUUUUGUAUUUGUUCAUAAUUGUUCCCUGUAUCGGCGACAAAAAUGAUUUUUUUCUAGUUAAUGCAAUCCUCCUGUUGAAGCACUAAAAAGCGCUACUUGUUGAUACUGAAGAAAAGGAAGAGGACCAAGUGUGCUGGAAGUUUUUUUGUACCCAUGUGCGGAAGCACUUUAUUUUUCUGAUAAUUAUUAGUGUUCAUGUGGGUGCUUGAAAAGUUCUGUACAAGAAUAGGCCGAUGAUUUUUGUGCUGAGGUCGGUGCUAUGGAUAAUAUCAUUCAUGUACAUCUAUUAUGUGUGGAAAAAAUUUAUGUCAGAUGAAAAGGAAAAAACGGUUUGAAUUACAAA
Molecule: ribosomal RNA, 1091 nt
Filed under: Triticum aestivum (bread wheat)
Lineage: Eukaryota; Viridiplantae; Streptophyta; Magnoliopsida; Poales; Poaceae
Description: partial small subunit ribosomal RNA
Source: RNAcentral